Molecule: long non-coding RNA, 804 nt
Organism: Gopherus flavomarginatus (Mexican gopher tortoise)
Lineage: Eukaryota; Metazoa; Chordata; Testudines; Testudinidae
Exons: 3
Source: RefSeq, a predicted model, not a curated record
AGUGAGUAAGUGGAGGGAUCUGAGGAACGCUGAAAAAGUCUAAGGUACAUUCCUUCUGCUUUCACAGUGCUGUGGGUAAAUCACUGGUAUCUGGACUCCCACCAGUGGGUUGUCAUUACAAGACUCAGGAGUAAACAGUGAGCGAGAGGGAUACUGAAGCCAACUUGCCAUGAAGUAGGGAAUCGGCAUCUGUUGCUGCUAAGGACUUUCCCCCUCCCUUCCCCUUCUAUUAUUUUCGGAGCUGAGGAAAAAAGCAAUAAUGAGUGCAUUGCAUACAGUGUUACUGGGAAUAGAGUCUCAGGGCAACAGCAAAAAGGAAAGAAGAUCUUAACAAGAUAGAGUUGGAGCAGAUGAGAAAGUCCUUUCCUUAUCCUGUGGCUCCAGCACCAAAACACUGCAAAAAAUCAUUAUGUUUCAGAGACUUGGAAGCUGCUUGUUAGAAGAGGAAAGAGGCAGCAGAGCUGGUGGCUAAGAGAGGAUAGAACCCAGCUCUAGUUAAUAGAUGCAGGACCCGGAUGGCGUUUGGCAUGGAAUUUCAAUUCAGAAAGUGCGAAAGAGACAGCUCCCUCCAGCCUCAUCUGGGAUACGUACUGCCACCAGGACACAAAGGUGUUGCUUUGAGCCUCGGCUGCAUUAGCAGAUGCUAUGCCGUAGGGCAACACCGAACAUUUGUAAUUGGAUUCUAUCACUGGAGUUAAUUAUAAAGAGACAAUAAAAACUGCUUGGCUUCUGUUUUAGUAACUAUUACUUUGUGUUGAAAUCCUUUGUUUGGGGAAGGGUAGAUAUUUGUAGUUUUAAUUUAAC